RNAcentral lists this ribosomal RNA (364 nucleotides) under Geobacillus stearothermophilus. Its description in RNAcentral is "bacterial SSU rRNA". It matches the Rfam family "Bacterial small subunit ribosomal RNA", at positions 558 to 921 of the family's 1533-position model. The record is from RNAcentral. Lineage: Bacteria; Bacillati; Bacillota; Bacilli; Caryophanales; Anoxybacillaceae.
GCGUAAGCGCGCGCAGGUGGUUUCUUAAGUCUGAUGUGAAAGCCCACGGCUCAACCGUGGAGGGUCAUUGGAAACUGGGAGACUUGAGUGCCGAAGAGGAAAGUGGAAUUCCAUGUGUAGCGGUGAAAUGCGUAGAGAUAUGGAGGAACACCAGUGGCGAAGGCGACUUUCUGGUCUGUAACUGACACUGAGGCGCGAAAGCGUGGGGAGCAAACAGGAUUAGAUACCCUGGUAGUCCACGCCGUAAACGAUGAGUGCUAAGUGUUAGAGGGUUUCCCCCCUUUAUUGCUGAAGUUAACGCAUUAAGCACUCCGCCUGGGGAGUACGGCCGCAAGGCUGAAACUCAAAGGAAUUGACGGGGGCC